AUUGAACGCUGGCGGCAUGCCUUACACAUGCAAGUCGAACGGCAGCGGGCCUUCGGGUGCCGGCGAGUGGCGAACGGGUGAGUAAUGCAUCGGAACGUGCCAUUGAGUGGGGGAUAACGUAGCGAAAGUUGCGCUAAUACCGCAUAUUCUGUGAGCAGGAAAGCAGGGGACCGCAAGGCCUUGCGCUCUUUGAGCGGCCGAUGUCAGAUUAGCUAGUUGGUGAGGUAAAGGCUUACCAAGGCGACGAUCUGUAGCGGGUCUGAGAGGAUGAUCCGCCACACUGGAACUGAGACACGGUCCAGACUCCUACGGGAGGCAGCAGUGGGGAAUUUUGGACAAUGGGCGCAAGCCUGAUCCAGCCAUUCCGCGUGAGUGAAGAAGGCCUCGGUUGUAAGA
RNAcentral lists this ribosomal RNA (396 nucleotides) under uncultured bacterium. Its description in RNAcentral is "bacterial SSU rRNA". It matches the Rfam family "Bacterial small subunit ribosomal RNA", at positions 30 to 430 of the family's 1533-position model. The record is from RNAcentral.